Molecule: ribosomal RNA, 422 nt
Filed under: uncultured Gammaproteobacteria bacterium
Lineage: Bacteria; Pseudomonadati; Pseudomonadota; Gammaproteobacteria
Description: bacterial SSU rRNA
Rfam family: Bacterial small subunit ribosomal RNA
Source: RNAcentral
CUCAACCUGGGAAUGGCAUCCGGAACUGUUUGGCUAGAGUGCAGGAGAGGAAGGUAGAAUUCCCGGUGUAGCGGUGAAAUGCGUAGAGAUCGGGAGGAAUACCAGUGGCGAAGGCGGCCUUCUGGACUGACACUGACGCUGAGGUGCGAAAGCGUGGGUAGCAAACAGGAUUAGAUACCCUGGUAGUCCACGCUGUAAACGAUGUCGACUAGCCGUUGGGUCCCUUGAGGACUUUGUGGCGCAGUUAACGCGAUAAGUCGACCGCCUGGGGAGUACGGCCGCAAGGUUAAAACUCAAAUGAAUUGACGGGGGCCCGCACAAGCGGUGGAGCAUGUGGUUUAAUUCGAUGCAACGCGAAGAACCUUACCUACCCUUGACAUCCUCGGAAUCCGCCAGAGAUGGUGGAGUGCCUUCGGGAACCG